Molecule: ribosomal RNA, 355 nt
Filed under: uncultured bacterium
Lineage: Bacteria
Description: bacterial SSU rRNA
Rfam family: Bacterial small subunit ribosomal RNA
Source: RNAcentral
AACGAACGCUGGCGGCAGGCCUAACACAUGCAAGUCGAACGCCGUAGCAAUACGGAGUGGCAGACGGGUGAGUAACACGUGGGAACGUACCCUUCGGUUCGGGAUAACUCAGGGAAACUUGAGCUAAUACCGGAUACGUCCGAGAGGAGAAAGAUUUAUUGCCGAGGGAUCGGCCCGCGUCUGAUUAGCUUGUUGGUGAGGUAACGGCUCACCAAGGCGACGAUCAGUAGCUGGCUGAGAGGAUGAUCAGCCACAUUGGGACUGAGACACGGCCCAAACUCCUACGGGAGGCAGCAGUGGGGAAUAUUGGACAAUGGGCGAAAGCCUGAUCCAGCAAUGCCGCGUGUGUGAAGAA